RNAcentral lists this unclassified non-coding RNA (377 nucleotides) under uncultured fungus. RNAcentral describes it as "sequence contains ITS1". The stretch from base 1 to 106 matches the Rfam family "5.8S ribosomal RNA", at positions 50 to 154 of the family's 154-position model. The record is from RNAcentral. Lineage: Eukaryota; Fungi.
GAAAUGCGAUACGUAAUGCGAAUUGCAGAAUUCAGUGAAUCAUCGAAUCUUUGAACGCAAAUUGCGCUCUCGGGUUACCCCCAAGAGCACACCUCUCUGAGUGUCGGUUUAACCAAAUGUCACCAAUUUAUUGGUGUACGACAGACUGAGGGUAAGGGGCUUCGGCUUCUUUCCCUUUAAAUCUCAGCCUCACGACUGUGUGUGUUCGUGGCAAGUUGCUUUCACUUAACUGUGAAUCCAAUCCGCGAACCCUAUGUUGGGAAGCCAAAAGAAACAAAUGAACAAAGGAGUGAGCUUGAGGCGCAAGUUUCGAGUGAGCGACUUUGGGCAUCUAUGAAUUAGACCUCAGAUGAAGUGGGAAGACCCCCUGAAUUUAA